RNAcentral lists this ribosomal RNA (252 nucleotides) under uncultured bacterium. RNAcentral describes it as "partial 16S ribosomal RNA". It matches the Rfam family "Bacterial small subunit ribosomal RNA", at positions 524 to 775 of the family's 1533-position model. The record is from RNAcentral.
UACGGAGGGGGCUAGCGUUGUUCGGAAUUACUGGGCGUAAAGCGUCCGUAGGCGGCUUGCCAAGUCAGAGGUGAAAUCCCACGACUCAAUCGUGGAACUGCCUUUGAGACUGGUUCGCUUGAAGAUGGGAGAGGUUAGUGGAAUUCCGAGUGUAGAGGUGAAAUUCGUAGAUAUUCGGAAGAACACCAGUGGCGAAGGCGGCUAACUGGACCAUUCUUGACGCUGAGGGACGAAAGCGUGGGGAGCAAACAG